CGGGUGAGUAAUGCCUAGGAAUCUGCCUGGUAGUGGGGGAUAACGUUCGGAAACGGACGCUAAUACCGCAUACGUCCUACGGGAGAAAGCAGGGGACCUUCGGGCCUUGCGCUAUCAGAUGAGCCUAGGUCGGAUUAGCUAGUUGGUGAGGUAAUGGCUCACCAAGGCGACGAUCCGUAACUGGUCUGAGAGGAUGAUCAGUCACACUGGAACUGAGACACGGUCCAGACUCCUACGGGAGGCAGCAGUGGGGAAUAUUGGACAAUGGGCGAAAGCCUGAUCCAGCCAUGCCGCGUGUGUGAAGAAGGUCUUCGGAUUGUAAAGCACUUUAAGUUGGGAGGAAGGGUUGUAGAUUAAUACUCUGCAAUUUUGACGUUACCGACAGAAUAAGCACCGGCUAACUCUGUGCCAGCAGCCGCGGUAAUACAGAGGGUGCAAGCGUUAAUCGGAAUUACUGGGCGUAAAGCGCGCGUAGGUGGUUUGUUAAGUUGGAUGUGAAAUCCCCGGGCUCAACCUGGGAACUGCAUUCAAAACUGACUGACUAGAGUAUGGUAGAGGGUGGUGGAAUUUCCUGUGUAGCGGUGAAAUGCGUAGAUAUAGGAAGGAACACCAGUGGCGAAGGCGACCACCUGGACUAAUACUGACACUGAGGUGCGAAAGCGUGGGGAGCAAACAGGAUUAGAUACCCUGGUAGUCCACGCCGUAAACGAUGUCAACUAGCCGUUGGAAGCCUUGAGCUUUUAGUGGCGCAGCUAACGCAUUAAGUUGACC
This 771-nucleotide ribosomal RNA is filed under the name Pseudomonas fluorescens. Its description in RNAcentral is "bacterial SSU rRNA". It matches the Rfam family "Bacterial small subunit ribosomal RNA", at positions 103 to 870 of the family's 1533-position model. The record is from RNAcentral. Lineage: Bacteria; Pseudomonadati; Pseudomonadota; Gammaproteobacteria; Pseudomonadales; Pseudomonadaceae.